This is a long non-coding RNA of Triplophysa dalaica, 1165 nucleotides long. RefSeq lists it as uncharacterized. NCBI's taxonomy places the organism in Eukaryota, Metazoa, Chordata, Actinopteri, Cypriniformes, Nemacheilidae. The transcript is spliced from 3 exons. The record is from RefSeq and is a predicted model, not a curated record.
GAAAAUAAAAUUUGUACCACAGAGGAGCAAUUGGUUUCCGCAAGUUCGAAGAUGAAACUUGACACUGAAUGGUAAACGUCCGUUGAUGCCUCCGCUGACCGCUUCUUCAUUCAGACGUUACCACAUAACGGCGCUUCAUGCUCACACAAUGCAUUGCGUCUUUAAAAAAUACGGUUAAAACGCCUGUAAAAAAAUAUUACGGAAAAUUCCUUCACAUUAACACGGUACAUUGUGACGAAUAUUUACGGACUUUUCUUACAGUGUAGCGCUGCUGCAGCAGUCUUUGAUAUGGGAGCUAGGGAGGCUGCAACUUACUCAAUAGCCGGUUUGGGGAAAGUAGCCGUUGACUGAGGGCCUCCUGAUCCUGGGAAUGCAGCCACGGAUUGGGGUUAAGGGACAUCUCCAUAUGACGCAGCUCCACUUUAACUUUCCCCAUAAGAGAGCGGGAUUCGUCUCCGAGUUUUGAAUAAGAAUGGGGUGGCUCCUGGUUCUAGACGGAUUACAUAUGGCUGUCGUACUUCUCCCAGACUGUUGCACAAUUUUGGCGCCACAAGCCCAAGCUUUGUGAUAGCUGGUCGUCCCAGAAGUGCAGAAAUUUCUGAUAACAUAUACAUCUUCCUUUGACUGUUUGCCCCCUCUCUUUAGCAGAAGCCUGGCAACUCCAACUACAUCCAUAGGAACUUGCCCUGGCCAUUACAACAGCCUUGUUCCUCUGACUGUUUGACCUCUCUCUUUACAGAAGCCUGGCAAAUCCCACUACAUCCAUAGGAACUUGCACCUGGCCCUAACAACGGCCUUGUUCCUCGGACUGUUUGACCCCUCUAUUUAGCAGAAGCCUGGCAUAUACAUCCACAGGGGUGUAAUUUCCACUGGGGAAAGGGGGAACAUCCCAGCUAACACAUUGUACGGCUGGUGGCUUCUCGUCCGCAGGCUGAUUAUCUCGCUGCUGCCUUCCCGUUGGAUUACCCGGUUUGGAUUACCUCUUCUGUCAGCUCUAUUACGGUUUUGCUAUUUCCCCUUGGAUGACGUUCGCGCCUCGCCUGACCCUGCCUGUCUGAUACCGAGUUCUCUUCACUCCCACGGAUCCUGUUGGCACCUCGAUUACCUUCGCCUGUUUAAACUCCGAUUCUGGCUCACUCCCGUUUACCUUUGGCCUAUUAAGGCA